Long non-coding RNA from Canis lupus familiaris (dog), 446 nucleotides. RefSeq lists it as uncharacterized. NCBI's taxonomy places the organism in Eukaryota, Metazoa, Chordata, Mammalia, Carnivora, Canidae. The record is from RefSeq and is a predicted model, not a curated record. The transcript is spliced from 3 exons.
UCAGGGUUUGGUGCCACAACUCAGAUAUUAUUUGUCCCUGCCUCAGGAUCCUGUUUACCCCUACCAGUUUUGUAGACACUCUUGCAAAGAAACAAUGGAUAUCCACCCAAAAUGUGGUUCAGACUGGAAACUGAUCAUGCCACAGGAAGACCAAGAAGUUCAGUCGUUGUUACACAGGCUUUCUUGGCCUGGCCAAACCGGCCUCAGGGAGCAUCCCUGGGAGCCUUGCAGAGCAGCCUCAAAGACGGAGCACCAGGCCAUAAAAUCAUGAAGGAGGAAGACAACAUAAACAAACAAGAAACAAAACCAGGAGACCUGGGACCUUCCACUGCCUUAGCGCCUCCAUCCUUUCCUCUGUCUGGAUAUAGAAGUCGCAGAGUAAAUAUUGAAUGAACCCCUUCUCAGGUUCAUCAUUCAUUCAAUAAACAUGGCUGAUCAUUGCUUCA